RNAcentral lists this ribosomal RNA (429 nucleotides) under Pseudomonadota bacterium. RNAcentral describes it as "Proteobacteria bacterium partial 16S ribosomal RNA". It matches the Rfam family "Bacterial small subunit ribosomal RNA", at positions 355 to 776 of the family's 1533-position model. The record is from RNAcentral. Lineage: Bacteria; Pseudomonadati; Pseudomonadota.
UGGGGAAUAUUGGACAAUGGGCGAAAGCCUGAUCCAGCCAUGCCGCGUGUGUGAAGAAGGUCUUCGGAUUGUAAAGCACUUUAAGUUGGGAGGAAGGGCAGUAAGCGAAUACCUUGCUGUUUUGACGUUACCGACAGAAUAAGCACCGGCUAACUCUGUGCCAGCAGCCGCGGUAAUACAGAGGGUGCAAGCGUUAAUCGGAAUUACUGGGCGUAAAGCGCGCGUAGGUGGUUCGUUAAGUUGAAUGUGAAAGCCCCGGGCUCAACCUGGGAACUGCAUCCAAAACUGGCGAGCUAGAGUAGGGCAGAGGGUGGUGGAAUUUCCUGUGUAGCGGUGAAAUGCGUAGAUAUAGGAAGGAACACCAGUGGCGAAGACGACCACCUGGGCUCAUACUGACACUGAGGUGCGAAAGCGUGGGGAGCUAACAGG